AUGCGCAGCAUCUGGCCACCACCGUCCUAUCAGUAAAGCACCAGAGAACAAGGGUGCUGGGGGCCUCGAGAAACAUUUACAGCAUGAGCGAUGCUACAGAGGCGUUUGAGACCCAUCGCUGCCUAGGGAGAGGGAAAGGUGUAGUCAGAGCCGAGGGCUCCCUGGAAGACCCUUAGGUGCUGCCUCCUGCAGCCCAGGCCCUCUGUGACGUCCCUGUCCUGGGAGUGGUUUUUGCAGUGAGCAACAGGGGGAGAGGGUCAGAAUCCUGGGGCUCUGUGGGGGUGGUCCUCACCCACAGAGAUCCCCAUGCAAGGGCAUCUGGAAGGGACACUGGUCUUUACCGUUCAGGGUGGCAGCGGAAGUCGUGCGACCCCACACUCUGACUCACGCUUCUUCUACCUUUCUAAACUUGGAAGCCGGGCCUGUGUCUGCUGUCUGCCAGGUGAGGACGCAGUGCGAAGAUGGCAGCCUGCGAGCCGGAAAGGGGACUCUCGCGAGACUCUGAGCGAGCUGGCAUCCUGACCUCAGACUUCCGGCCUGCAGACCUGGGGACGUCUGCUGUUUUAGCUGCCUGCCUUGGGGUCUAUCCCUGUGGCAGCCUGAGCUGAGACAGAAGUCAUUUCCUAAGGUCAGAAGCUCAGAAUAAAGAACCAUUUCUACCUAAGUCCAGCGCAGUUUUCCACUCGUGGUGCCUUUUUUGAGAUGGCAGGAACACAGCCCUGUGAGGUCAGAGCUGUCAGAAGCCCCUGAGAAGCAGUGUGCAUUGGGAAGGGGCCCGAGAC
This 782-nucleotide long non-coding RNA is filed under the name Heterocephalus glaber (naked mole-rat). Its description in RNAcentral is "lncRNA (ENSHGLG00100045315.1)". Lineage: Eukaryota; Metazoa; Chordata; Mammalia; Rodentia; Bathyergidae. The record is from RNAcentral.